AUGAGCUGCAAUGACACACUGAGGAGUCUGAGGCUUAGCUACAGGAAAAAUUGCCAGUUAUAAAUGGAAGAGAAACCUAUCUACUUGGAACAAAUCACAGAUAGCCACAACAGGCAAAAUCUGUUUGUCUUUAUUGUGGUCAUUACUUUCCUCCUAGUUCCUUUUCCAAAUUUUUAGGUCCUAGAGCGGCUGUGUCCGACCCUCUCAGAAUCCUAGAAUACGCUCAAAAUGUUUUAUGACUCUUCGGAACCUUUCUUCGCCAGAAGGGCCAUAUCAAUGAGCUCAGCCUCUCACAACACAGAAUGAAGAGAGGAAUGGGUUUGUCAGACUCUGAGGAGGCUUGAAUGGCAGUAGUCACGAGACUGGGAUCACAUCUCUAUUUGUGUCUGAUCCGGAGCAGGGAGAAGACAAUGUAGUAAAGGCCAGUAAAUAUGAGUGAUAACCUCUUUCUGACGAACAAUGCAAACUUCCUCACAUAAUUUUUAAUUCAAAGUCAGAGAACUGAAGCACCUCUCUGCAGUGCUACCCUCUUCAGGCCACCGGUAGCUCCUGGGAAACCACCAAAUCACAGCAUCUCUUCUGGCCUGGAGGGAUGGAUCAGGUCACCUGUGACACACUUAAUAUCAGCUGCUCAGUAGCCAUUCUCUGGAGGGAUACUUAUUGCUCACGACCUCAUGUGAUUAAUUCCUCAAGCACAGUCUAUCAUAUAAAUCCUUUCCCUAGCUUUCAUGCCCCAAAUUCCAAUUAUAAGUAUUAGUGAAUGUCAUCUUCCAAGAAACAAAGACCUCAGGCCACAACUCAAUAUAAAACUCAGGCAUAUAUGAUGAA
This is a long non-coding RNA of Tachyglossus aculeatus (Australian echidna), 828 nucleotides long. RefSeq lists it as uncharacterized. The record is from RefSeq and is a predicted model, not a curated record. The transcript has 4 exons. NCBI's taxonomy places the organism in Eukaryota, Metazoa, Chordata, Mammalia, Monotremata, Tachyglossidae.